UGUGCUCUGGGGACCGCUGCAUCCUCAGGCUGUGGACAAGGAAGCGGAGGGUCACCCAGACAAGAGGAGGUGCUGGAGGUCACACAGUGAAUAUGCCUCACUGGCCUUCCCGUCUGGCGUGUCUUCCUCUGCCCCCAUCCAGGGAGGAUCACCUGAGCCCAGGAGGUCAAGGCUUCAGUGAGCUGCGAUCUCACUGUCAGGCCUCUGAGCCUAAGCUAAGCCAUCGCAUCCCCGGUGACUUGCACGUAUACGCCCAGAUGGCCUGAAGUAACUGAAGAAUCACAAAAGAAGUGAAAAUGCCCUGCCCCGCCUUAACUGAUGACAUUCCACCACAAAAGAAGUGAAAAUGGCCGGUCCUUGCCUUAACUGAUGACAUUGUCUUGUGAAAUUCCUUUUCCUGGCUCAUUCUGGCUCAGAAAGCUCCCCCAGUGAGCACCCUGUGACCCCCACAACUGCCCACCAGAGAACAACCCCCUUUCUAAUUUUCCUUUACCUACCCAAAUCCUAUAAAACGGCCCACCCUUAUCUCCCUUCACUGACUCUCUUGUCGGACUCAGCCCACCUGCACCCAGGUGAUUAAAAGCUUUAUUGCUCACACAAA
RNAcentral lists this long non-coding RNA (601 nucleotides) under Pongo abelii (Sumatran orangutan). Its description in RNAcentral is "lincRNA". The record is from RNAcentral. Lineage: Eukaryota; Metazoa; Chordata; Mammalia; Primates; Hominidae.